RNAcentral lists this ribosomal RNA (497 nucleotides) under uncultured bacterium. RNAcentral's name for it is "partial 16S ribosomal RNA". It matches the Rfam family "Bacterial small subunit ribosomal RNA", at positions 28 to 507 of the family's 1533-position model. The record is from RNAcentral.
GAUGAACGCUGGCGGCGUGCCUAAUACAUGCAAGUAGAACGCUGAAGCUUGGUGCUUGCCCCGAGCGGAUGAGUUGCGAACGGGUGAGUAACGCGUAGGUAACCUGCCUGGUAGCGGGGGAUAACUAUUGGAAACGAUAGCUAAUACCGCAUGACAACAGUUAUUGCAUGAUAACUGUUUAAAAGGGGCAAUUGCUCCACUACCAGAUGGACCUGCGUUGUAUUAGCUAGUUGGUGAGGUAACGGCUCACCAAGGCGACGAUACAUAGCCGACCUGAGAGGGUGAUCGGCCACACUGGGACUGAGACACGGCCCAGACUCCUACGGGAGGCAGCAGUAGGGAAUCUUCGGCAAUGGACGGAAGUCUGACCGAGCAACGCCGCGUGAGUGAAGAAGGGUUUCGGAUCGUAAAGCUCUGUUGUAAGAGAAGAACGAGUGUGAGAGUGGAAAGUUCACACUGUGACGGUAUCUUACCAGAAAGGGACGGCUAACUACGUG